UUUCCUUUUCAUUUUCUUUGGACCAAGCAUUUAGCCUUUAGACUUAGACAGUUUUCAUUCCUUGUAUUUUUUGUUUGUAUUUAAUAAAAGUCAAAAUCCUAACCUUUGAUUGGGAGUUUGUAAAAAGACCGUCUAGCGUUUUUUUCCCGUAUUUUUCUGCCUGUGUUGCUGAGAACCCCGGAUACCUUGCAAUAGGGCCUCCUGCUCCAAAGAUUUGACUUCGCUCCGGGGACAGUUACUACAGAGAUAAUGGUGGGAACAUGUACAAAUGCUGCUCUAGUAACCUUACCUUCAUCAUGUUGAUCCAUGAGAGCCUGAGCUGACCGUGUAGCUUCUUGAAGCUUCCGGAACUUGUCUGGUCUCUCUCGUUCUAUUGCCUGAUAAUGAGCACAGAUGAGGGUCUGCCAGAUUUCUCUCUUUGCGGGACACAGAGAACUCUGGGCUUUUGAGAAUGGCCUCUGCACGAGUGAUGAAGCUGUGAAUCUCAGUGAAGUCCAUGUCAAACCUGUCAAACAGCAUAUUGUUUUUUGCCCACACUGUAGUAGUAAUAAAAGCUGUUUCAGACAUGCA
This is a long non-coding RNA of Alosa sapidissima (American shad), 570 nucleotides long. RefSeq lists it as uncharacterized. The transcript has 3 exons. The record is from RefSeq and is a predicted model, not a curated record. Lineage: Eukaryota; Metazoa; Chordata; Actinopteri; Clupeiformes; Clupeidae.